ACUUAAAGAAAUUGACGGAAGGGCACCACCAGGAGUGGAGCCUGCGCUUAAUUUGACUCAACACGGGAAAACUCACCCGGUCCGGACACUGUAAGGAUUGACAGAUUGAUAGCUCUUUCUUGAUUCGGUGGGUGGUGGUGCAUGGCCGUUCUUAGUUGGUGGAGCGAUUUGUCUGGUUAAUUCCGAUAACGAACGAGACUCUAGCCUAUUAAAUAGUUCGCCUCGGUGGUUCUAUUGCCGACGCGUACACUUCUUAGAGGGACGAGUGGCGUUUAGCCACACGAAAUUGAGCAAUAACAGGUCUGUGAUGCCCUUAGAUGUCCGGGGCGCACGCGCGCUACACUGAAGGAAUCAGCGUGGAUGCCUCCCUGGCCCGAAAGGGCUGGGAAACCCGUUGAAUCUCCUUCGUGCUAGGGAUUGGGGCUUGUAAUUGUUCCCCAUGAACGAGGAAUUCCCAGUAAGCGCGAGUCAUAAGCUCGCGUUGAUUACGUCCCUGCCCUUUGUACACACCGCCCGUCG
Molecule: ribosomal RNA, 519 nt
Filed under: Pseudosuccinea columella
Lineage: Eukaryota; Metazoa; Mollusca; Gastropoda; Lymnaeidae
Description: SSU rRNA
Rfam family: Eukaryotic small subunit ribosomal RNA
Source: RNAcentral